GGAAAUGUGCCUGAGCAACAAGGGUCACUAUGAUAAAGUGAAUACAGAGGUUUACCAACCCUCUCAUUUCCU
This 72-nucleotide transfer RNA is filed under the name Pardalotus punctatus (spotted pardalote). RNAcentral's name for it is "tRNA-Ile". Lineage: Eukaryota; Metazoa; Chordata; Aves; Passeriformes; Pardalotidae. The record is from RNAcentral.